This is a long non-coding RNA of Oreochromis aureus, 3371 nucleotides long. NCBI's taxonomy places the organism in Eukaryota, Metazoa, Chordata, Actinopteri, Cichliformes, Cichlidae. The record is from Ensembl.
UCUCCACAAAAAUUUAGCCCCAAAAACUCUGGAUCAAGAGGCACACUGUGGUUCAAAGAAUGCCCCAAAAGUCAUUGUUGCCAGAGAUGGAGGGAACUUGCCGGGGGAUGGAAAGCGGUGGAAGGCGAGGUGAGAGAGGAGUCAGGGAGGGAAAGCAGGAGCGCAGGGACAAGUGGCGGUGAACUGCUUCUUUUUGUCACUCCUUCUCCUUUAUUUGCUGUGACAUCUUCACCCUCUGCUUCCAUCAUCUACUUCAUUCCCAUGUCAGGGCUCUGGCACGAAAUUCCACACAUGCCUUUAAUUUGGAAUGAGGCAGCUCAGGAGUGAAGUUAUCUUACCGCUGUGGAAUUUUCCACUCUUGCCUCUAACAUGAGCCCAGAAGCAAUUAAGCAAAAGGAGGAGUGGGGUUUAUUAUCGGAUUGGAGAAGGGGGCGAUGGCUGCCCGCGAGAGAAAUCGAAGGUAACACUUGCUUCUGUUUGCUCGGGCCUGUGUUUACCGGGCAGUGCCAGCGAGAGAGGCAGGAUGGAGAGAUAACGAUUAGGGGGUGGGAGGUGACAGGGGGAUAAACGCUGCUGUCCUCGGCACUAAAAGUCCACGUGCUCUGAGAAUGAAUUGAGAGAAGAUGGGAGGAAGAAUAUUUAUCUUGGCCCCGUUGACCCCAGCUCGUUAUCUCACUUUCUCAACUCGCUCAUUCAGAAAAUGUUACCCUUCGCAUGAUGGACUGAAUCUGAACUGAGUCAUGGCUUUUAAUAGGCUUCCCAACCCUCCCCGACAGAGUAGUGACCGCCGUUACAUAAAAGAGGGAAAAGACAACAUUUUUGAAACGGCUCCUCUUCCGUCUCACUUGGCCUCCUCGGGGGGAAUUUGCGGGGUCUGAGUAACCCAAUCAGGGCCCGUGUGAUGGAUCUUACAGAUAUGUUAGAUCCGUGGCUCGGCGAUUGACCGCCUGGCCUGUUUUUGUACUCACAUCCUCAGUUUGGUGUCUGCUCCUUUUGUCUAACUGGCAAAGGAAAAGCUGGGUUAUAAAAAGAACACUGACGAAAGGCCUUUGAAGUUUUCCGCGAGAAAUUGUGGAGAGGAGUUGGGGAAACAGUUGGGUCUCUUCUACUUGAAAUAGUAAUUAUGCUAACGCUUUGAUACUUUGAAAACUGGGAGCACGCAUUCAAGUCUCCUAUUCUCAGUGCUGCAAUAGAGAGGAGAGGAAGAAAAGUCCCCAUUCUCCUGAAUAAUAACCACACUGAUGUUCAGAAAAGGCUUUAUUCCAAAGUGACUUCAGAGCUUCUUUUUCUCUCGCACACAAAAUCUGAAAACCUCCUUUUCAAGCACUAAUUGAUAUUGAAUGUAAUAACCAGCUUCUUCUUCUUGUCUCUCUCAGUCAACAGCACAAAGACAGCUGCAUGGCUAAAAAGAGCAUUCACUCUGUGCAAAUCAGUAUAAUAUGAAAUAGAGGCUACGCUGAGGCCUGGGUCUAGUUUCCAUUUGUCCAGGUUAUAAUCUUGGAAAAGCUCUAAAAUAUUUCAGAUCUAUUAAAAAAACACUUUUCUGGCUUUUACAUAUAUAUUACAAACAGGAAUGGGAUCUUCAGGGUCGAGCAAGACUUUGGAAGUCAGUCAUAUUUUUCUGUCAUCUGUUUCAGGGAAAAUGCAUGACUGCGCUACAAUGAGCUAUUAGCAGAACUGAAAUGAGUGCAACUCUGAGCCCUUUGCACCAGUUUCAGUUACAUGAAACCCACCCAUAAAGUCUAGCCAACUCCUGCUCUCCACCCUGUGCUUCAAAUGAAAACAAAGGGUGUGCGCUGGAGUACGAGGAAAACAGAGGAAGAACUGGCCAUCUCUUUUCUGUCUGUUGAGGAUAUCUACAAAAAGAAAAGAAAAAACUGUGAGAUAGGUAGUGAGAAAGGAAAUGGGAAAACAGUUACAGACUCGAUGAGUCAAGAAAUAGACUUCUGAUAGAUUGUUUGCAGGAAAGAGAGGUGAGCAGCGGUGCAGCGGGUUGUCUGGGUCAGCUAGCAGCUCAUUGAGAGUCUGUGUCCUCUCCCUGAACUCAGAAACAUGGAGGUGACACUGCCAUCUCCCUCUUCAACAGUCAAUAUCAAUAACCGCUUUAGACGUCACUGGAGGAGAAGCGGAUGGGGGAUGUUUGUGUGAUGGGUAGUGGGUGUGAAACCUGCUCUUUUUCUGUUCUUGAUGAGGAGGAAGUUUAAUUGUGUACUUAAAUUUUAUAGGUAGAACAAGAACAUCCAAACAAUGCUAAUAAGUUAUUUGCACUGAACUGCACCCAUUCGGUAUAUUAUCCCCGUCAGUUUCAGUUAGUUUAAUUUAGCACCAAAUCAAAACAACUGUCAGUUCAAGGCACCUGAGGCAACAGUUAUAGCAGGGUUUUCAAACUGCAGUAAAUUGCACUUGGAAGACAAUAUUACAGAGAAAACCCCCAACAAUCAGGAGCAACCAUUUGGUGACAGUAGGAAGGGAAAAAAUCCCUUUUAACAGGAAGAAACCUACAGAACCAGGCUCAGGGAAGGUGGUGAACCAGUUGCUGGUGAAGGGACAAAGACAGGAUAAAAGACACAUUGUGGAAAAGAAGAAGCCCUCAUUGCAUCUUUGGAAGCCCCCAGGAGGCCUAUUGGAGCAUAACUAAGGAACGGUUCUAACUAUAAGUUUUAUCAAACAGGAAAGUUUGAUAAAACUUAUGACUGUGUCUUCUCUCUCAAAACCAAACUGUGUGAGCUGGUUCCACAUAAGGGGGCCUAAAAGCUGAAGGUUCUGGCUCUCAUUCUAGCAAAGCUAAUGUGGGAGAAAUCGGUUCUCUCUUUCUAGUCCCUAACAGUACUCUCACUGUGGCAUUCUGGACUAAUUGAACUUUUGGAACAACUUGGGAAUAAUGAAUUAUAAUAGUUCGAAAGAGACACAGUGAUCAAAGAAGUGGAUGGCCCAAUUUACAUUUUAAGAGAACCCAAUUGAGUUUACUCAUCAUACUAUAAUGAUCGUGGCAUAUGUAAGUAUAUUUCUGUGUUCCCUAUCACUCACGCUAUAGGCAGGGGUUUGCUAGUAAAUAAAAUGCAAAGUCAGUGGUGUUGGUUUCAACAUCUACAUACUUGUUAGAAUAAAGUUACAGAAAAUACUGCUGUAAGUGUCCCUGUGCCUACCCGGUCGGCUCAGUAUGGCUACAUAUGUUUUUCAUUUUGUUCCUGCACUCUCCCUUCCCCUCUUUCCCUCCUCCCUCUGCCUGGGCGGAGCUCACCUGUGGGCUCCUGCCCUUGGCCCACGCACCUGGUCACGAUCACGCACCUGUGGCUCAUUACGAGAGUGUUCCAGCUCCUUUAUAAGAUGGCAGCUCUGUGUUUCUCGUCGCUGGACCGUUGCCGACCCGC